GCCGCCGCCGCCGAGAUCUAAAAUUUCCCCCGCGCCGCGAGCAGCGCGCUUCCACCGCCGCCUAAUCCUCAGCCUCGCUGCCUCCUCCACCACCGCGCUCCAAUCGGAUCCAGUUCUUUGCCGGCCAUUACCUGCGCCUCCCCGACUGCCUUUUGCCGCCCCCACCUCCGCCUCCGAGACCUAGAUCCCACCGCCGCACACAUCCCCGCCCAGCUCGCUGGUCGCCUGUACCUCCGCCCCCACUUGACCUAUCCUUCCCGCUCAGCUCGACCGCCUGUUCCUCGUGGAUACUUCCCCCCUCUCCCGCGUCGUUAACCUCCCCGUCGGCAGUCGCGAAGAAAACCCACGCCCGUUACACGAGUCCCCAAUCUUCCUCUACGUCAUCGGCCUCAAGAGUACGAUGUCCAUGCAACCCCGCGAGCCACAACACACCUUGACUGAACUUCUCCAGCUCCUUCGGAAGGUUCUCUGCACUAGUCACAUAUAAAGGCAAGCAGGAGCCUGCAUGGUCGUGAAAGCAUGAGAUGGCUAAGGAUCCCGCUACAUAUUGGGAGAGGUGGUUAGACAACCUUGUACAACAAGUGGAGGAGGAAUUCUGGAAUUACUAUAGAUGGCAAGAAGGCACUGAGGUUGCUGCAAGAAGGGCUGUUCACAACUCAAUCAAAAAAAUAUAGAUGAUAUGAUAUAUGAGGCACGGGUUUAGGCUGUAGUGGACUAUUAAUUUUUUUGUUUUAAAAACAGAGAUAUGUCGGCCGAACGCUUGUAGGACUUAUCUUACUGUGGAUCAGUAUAUGGAGGUUCUUGAUUGGAUUAUGUAUUUUGGGCACUUCGCUGGUGCCAUCUUCCUCGAGGAGGGAAAGAAUAUCAGUGAAGGGUUUCUCUAUUGUAAGAUUUCUAAAUUCCUCAUUUAUUGUCUAUCCAAGCAAGAAUAGUCCUCAUGUCGUUAUGGAUGAAUGACAUAUUGUCUUGAACAUCCUAGAAGGACGAUGCUCCUGAUGCCUGUAGAACCUUUUGAACCUAAUAAAUCAUGCUAUGUCUGCUCUGAGACCCCUCUUCUGCUGGAUGUCAACACUAAGGCCACGAAGCUUAGGGAGGUUAUCGACAAGAUUAUAAAAAGCAAACUUGGAAUGAUCCUCUCGUUGGUAAUGAUUGGAUCUACACUUGUUUUUGAGGAUGGUGAUGGCUUAGAGGAAGACGAGGCUGCAAACUAUGCUUCAAACCUUGAGAAUGUACUAUCCUCAUAGACUCAUAAUGUUUCCUGUUCAAGGCAAGGGCCAAUGGAACAAUGCACUCCAAUGCCAUUUCUGUCCUUUUUGGACUGUGCCCUUGCGUUUCCAUAUUGUCGAUCAACUAUUACAGGUCUUGACUGAACUGUCAGCUCCAGUAUUAAUGGCACAAAGCUUGCUGUUGAGGAUUUCCGGCAGGAGUUGUCAUGCAACAUUAACAUCAAGCACAGGGAGGAGUUUGAUGAGGAGAAAGAGCCUGACAAAAUGGUUUCAUCUGGAUGGUCUGCUCUUGUGGAGGGACAGAUUAACAGUAAUGGGGAGAACAAAUCGACAGCUUCAUCCUGUGCGCAUUCCACUGAUGACACUAUUGAGGAUCCAUCGACUAAACCUGGGAUGAAGCGCAAGCUGGGUGAAAUGUUGGAAAUAAAGGAAAACUAUCAUGCAUCCAGCAGUGCUUAGGUGUUUUGGUCUAGUUGAUGUGUGGUCUAUGCUAUAGCAGAUUGUAUAUCCUGAUUCAAGUGUUCUAGCAAUUUAGCAAAUUAAGCUAGCCUUUCUUUGAAUUCAUGGCCGGUAUGAAUACGAUGUAUGGUGAAGUUUUGCUGAUUUAUGAAUUAUUUGAGCUACGGCUGAUAUUAAUCCAGAUUUGGCGUUUUGUUA
Triticum dicoccoides is the source of this 1883-nucleotide long non-coding RNA. RefSeq lists it as uncharacterized. Lineage: Eukaryota; Viridiplantae; Streptophyta; Magnoliopsida; Poales; Poaceae. The record is from RefSeq and is a predicted model, not a curated record. The transcript has 8 exons.